This 288-nucleotide ribosomal RNA is filed under the name Pedobacter borealis. RNAcentral describes it as "partial 16S ribosomal RNA". It matches the Rfam family "Bacterial small subunit ribosomal RNA", at positions 1086 to 1372 of the family's 1533-position model. Lineage: Bacteria; Pseudomonadati; Bacteroidota; Sphingobacteriia; Sphingobacteriales; Sphingobacteriaceae. The record is from RNAcentral.
CCCGCAACGAGCGCAACCCCUAUGUUUAGUUGCCAGCACGUUAAGGUGGGGACUCUAAACAGACUGCCUGUGCAAACAGAGAGGAAGGAGGGGACGACGUCAAGUCAUCAUGGCCCUUACGUCCGGGGCUACACACGUGCUACAAUGGAUGGUACAGAGGGCAGCUACAUAGCAAUAUGAUGCGAAUCUCACAAAGCCAUUCACAGUUCGGAUUGGGGUCUGCAACUCGACCCCAUGAAGUUGGAUUCGCUAGUAAUCGCGUAUCAGCAAUGACGCGGUGAAUACGUU